Molecule: small RNA, 245 nt
Filed under: Bacillus methanolicus MGA3
Lineage: Bacteria; Bacillati; Bacillota; Bacilli; Caryophanales; Bacillaceae
Description: BsrG
Rfam family: BsrG
About the family: bsrE, bsrG and bsrH pair through intermolecular interactions with antisense sRNAs. SR4 interaction with the 3'UTR of bsrG RNA promotes bsrG degradation and inhibits its translation. SR5 also overlaps bsrG from nucleotide 163 to 52 (Rfam overlap check).
Source: Rfam by way of RNAcentral
GCGAUAGCUCGUUUCGCAAGGGUGGUCGGCUAGCCCCGUGAAAGGGGGUGAGGCCUUUUGACAGUUUUUGAAUCGAUGACAUUGAUGAUUUCAUUUGCUUGUCUGAUCAUCGCUGUCUUAACUUUUAACCAAAAUAAAUAGACCUCCCUUGACCGCAAAUUGAGGGAGAGGUCUAUCCUGUUUCAUAGGCCGAACCCCUGCGGGAACGACUAUGGCAAGUGACCGUCGGUGCUGCAACACCGCGG